CUGACACAGGUGCUGCAUGGCUGUCGUCAGCUCGUGUCGUGAGAUGUUGGGUUAAGUCCGUAACGAGCGCAACCCUUGUCCUUAGUUACCAGCACGUUAUGGUGGGCACUCUAAGGAGACUGCCGGUGACAAACCGGAGGAAGGUGGGGGAUGACGUCAAGUCAUCAUGGCCCUUACGGCCUGGGCUACACACGUGCUACAAUGGUCGGUACAAAGGGUUGGCCAAGCCGCGAGGUGGAGCUAAUCCCAUAAAACCGAUCGUAGUCCGGAUCGCAGUCUGCAACUCGACUGCGUGAAGUCGGAAUCGCUAGUAAUCGUGAAUCAGAAUGUCACGGUGAAUACGUUCCCGGGCCUU
This 355-nucleotide ribosomal RNA is filed under the name uncultured Pseudomonas sp. RNAcentral describes it as "bacterial SSU rRNA". It matches the Rfam family "Bacterial small subunit ribosomal RNA", at positions 1029 to 1382 of the family's 1533-position model. The record is from RNAcentral. Lineage: Bacteria; Pseudomonadati; Pseudomonadota; Gammaproteobacteria; Pseudomonadales; Pseudomonadaceae.